UACGAAGGGGGCUAGCGUUGCUCGGAAUCACUGGGCGUAAAGCGCACGUAGGCGGAUUCUUAAGUCAGGGGUGAAAUCCUGGAGCUCAACUCCAGAACUGCCUUUGAUACUGAGGAGCUUGAGUCCGGGAGAGGUGAGUGGAACUGCGAGUGUAGAGGUGAAAUUCGUAGAUAUUCGCAAGAACACCAGUGGCGAAGGCGGCUCACUGGCCCGGUACUGACGCUGAGGUGCGAAAGCGUGGGGAGCAAACAGG
RNAcentral lists this ribosomal RNA (253 nucleotides) under uncultured bacterium. Its description in RNAcentral is "partial 16S ribosomal RNA". It matches the Rfam family "Bacterial small subunit ribosomal RNA", at positions 524 to 776 of the family's 1533-position model. The record is from RNAcentral.